AAAAUAACACAUUUCUAAGUUUAUGUCACAAAAAUAGUCCUCAAAAACUAAAAUGACCAAAAUAGCAUUUUAUCUUUUGAAAAAUGUAAUUUUUUUUUAUUUUUCAAAAUUUGAAAUCUUAUCUCAAAACCCCACUUCCCAACUCUAAACCCUAAACCUUAAACUCUAAACCCUAAACUCUAAACCCUAAACCCUAAAUUCUAAACCCUAAACCCUAAAUCCUAAACCCCACCCCUUAACUCUAAACCCUAAACCCUAAACCCCAUCUCUAAACUCUA
This 278-nucleotide long non-coding RNA is filed under the name Brassica napus (rape). RNAcentral describes it as "long non-coding RNA (BNAP_LNC011187)". The record is from RNAcentral. Lineage: Eukaryota; Viridiplantae; Streptophyta; Magnoliopsida; Brassicales; Brassicaceae.